UCUGCGCUCCAUGGUCCACGACGCUACGCGCAUGCGCAGCCACGCAGACGACGGCAACAGCUACAAGUGACAGAGAACCUCCCCCCCGACACACGCGCACAUAGACGGGGUCAGAAGACGGAAGGGAGCUGCAGGCAGCAUCUAUCAGCGUAUCAAAGGGUAAGAGCACGAGAGCGGAGAAGGGCCGGGCGAGCCACCAACACAUCAUCCGAGGCCUGCAGGGUCACUGUUAUACAUACACACGCACACACACGAAGCUCUGCCGGGCCCAUUCCUUUUUUUUUUUCUCACCUACCUGCGCUUCUUGGCCUCUUGCACGAUCGCCUCUUUCUCCCCAAGCGCCUGCCCUUUCACGUCCUCUCGUCCUCAUUUCCGCCGCUCGUAGCGAGGGCCUCUCGUGCAAGUUCCAGAGGGACACAUACACACAUACACGAUACGAUCCAGGCAGCACUCGAGGAGUGCCAGGGCACGCGCACACGCAGACUCGCCCGCACUCGUAGCGAGACGAACGUGGCCUAUAGAGUGCAUCUCGCGGCAUACGCUAAUGCCCUCGCAUGCACACACAUAGAUGCACACACCACAUAAGCGCAUACGCCGUAUAUUCCACAUUCUCUGAGGCGCUCAGAUCGGAUCAGCAGUCCCCGAAGGCUGCGGUAGGCGUGCACAGUUUGCACACACACACACACACACACACACACACACACACACCAGCGCACACUCGCACGCACCUGCCAUUCACAUUCGAAGAUCGCUGUGCGUUACUGACUCGUCCUGGCUGUCACAGAGUGCACUCUUUCGCUCCGGCCUUCCUCUUCUCUGUGCACGAGUAGGAGCGCGCCGUCUACGCCCACCGACAAGACACCUGCGAGUAGCCCAGCGUCACCCUUGCCUUUUGUGGUCCUCCCUCUCUCCCUCCUCACCUGGUUCUCCUCACAAACACACACUCACACCAGCGCACUCCCUUGCAUAUAUACAUAUAUACAUAUAUACAUAUAUAUAUAUGUAUAUAUUAUGUAUUCUCUCUCUGUUCUCCGCUCUCUCCGCCACACGAAAGUCAUCGCACAUCGAGGAUGCCUACAGCGGCGUCAUUAUCAUCCGCAUCGACUUCGACGGCGACUGCUCGAGCGGCCCCGCCGUACCGCACAAACGAGUCGGAGUGGAUACCCGCUCUCGCCUCUGCCGUUCAGCGCAGCCUUGAAGGCGGUGCUGGGAGCAGCAGCAACGGCGGUAGUGACAGCGCUGGGUGGAACCCGGCAAACAGACAUCAAGGAGCCGCCCAGAGUGCGGCGAUGAGUGCUGCCCGGGACACGGCGCCUCCCUUGGCGGAGUACCAGGCUGCUUAUCAGUGCCGUAGCCUCCAUCAGAGCGGUUUUGUCGCGGUGCCUCCUCCGGCUCGCUUGUAUCCAGCUCUUGGAGGUAGUAUUGGUGCAGGCAGUUGCGGCAACCUGAAAAUUGGCAGCAGCAGCACUGGCAACAACAUCUCCGUCGCCUCCUACGCGCCUCCUGCACCGUUGUCGACCCGUCAUGCGACACCGGACGCCAGCGGAUCUUCCGCUCUGCCACCGUCUCUGGCACAUUCUGCCGUCCCCGCGCCAGGGGCGUCGCAGCGAACGGCAACUACGUGGACCUCAAGUAUGCCUGCGACUGCCGCAUCAUUUCCCGUCUCCUCUGUCUGCGACCCAGGUGGUGGUGAGCUGGCUGGGUCGAGCGCCGCUGUCGGUGUCACUGCUGCUGCUGCUCCCUCGUCUUCGAUGUUUCCUACCAUGCCACCCCCAGCCGUGCCCAGAGGCGGGCUGGUCAAAGUACCUCCCGCUGCCGCUUCAGCUCCUGCCGCUGCGUGCAUGGCGCCGUCGCCGUUGACGUUGCGCGACGUGAAAGCGGAGAUGCGGCGCGUCGCCAAGCAGCUCCGCGAGGCGCAACACCACCGCGAUGACCUCGUGCUCCUGGAAGACGAAGAGCACGACGCGACAGACGAGCUGCAGCAGCUAGAUGUGCGCAUUGCAGAGCUGGAACAGCGGUUUGCACGCUUCCGCGCUUUCCAGGCAACGCUGCUGAACCGCCCCACACCCGCCUCGACGCCGCCGUCCCUCUCUUCCAUGUCGUCCUCGCUCGUGCGAUCACCGCACGCCACAUCGGUGAUGGAUCUCGGCGGUGCAAUCUACAGCAGCGCUGGCGUUGUCGGCUACACCGGCGGCGGCGAGCAGAGAGGCCCGCUGAUGCAGAGCACUGUGACAUCGCCUUGGCCCGCCGCGCCAACGAGUGGCCCCCCUUCAGCAGCAGGGGCUACUGGUGCACCACCACCACACGGUGACUGGCCCACCGCCAUGACCGAGUACAGCGUAAACCGUGGUGACAUCGGCGGCUGUGCCCUGGAGCUGCCAGGUCCGUCGGUCUCCGACGCCAACGGAGGUACGACGAGCUUCCGCAGUGCCGAAUGCUCGGCCCCCUCCGCUCGCAAAGGCUUCUCGUGGGAGGCCUACGAACAGCAGGUAGACCCGGAGGCGCUGUCGCGCGACGCCCUGUCUCGCACCGCGCACGUCGAGCUCCCCGUGAACCCCACGCACCAGUAUGGCGGCGAGCGCUUCCCGUGGUCAGCGGAGCUGCGGCGCAUGAUGCGCGAGGUGUUCGGGUUGCACGACUACCGCUUCUGCCAGCUCGAGAUCAUGAACGCCUGCAUGGACGGCCGCGAUGUUUUUGUGCUGCUGCCGACGGGUGGCGGCAAGUCCCUCUGCUACCAGCUUCCUGCGCUGAUGCCCAACCCGGCCCAGGUCACCGUUGUCGUGUCGCCGCUCAUCUCGCUUAUUCAGGAUCAGGUGUACGCGCUGAUCGCAAACGACAUUCCUGCCAUGGCCCUCACCGGGCAGACCAACGACGCGGCUCGCCGCAGUCUCUUCCAGGAGUGGGCCUCCGGCCACGUCGUGCACACGCUCGUGUACGUGACGCCGGAGUACUUUGGCCGCAGCGACCACUUUGUGGGCACGCUGCAGGGGCUUGCCGACAAGGGGCUGCUCUGCCGCUUCGUGAUUGACGAGGCGCACUGCGUGUCGCAGUGGGGUCACGACUUCCGGCCAGAUUACCGCAAACUCUCGGUGCUGAAGCGGCAGUUUCCACGCACACCCAUCACGGCGCUGACCGCCACGGCGACGGAUCUCGUGCAGCAGGAUGUUAUCAAGACUCUUGCCCUGCGCGACGCCAUCAUCUUCAAGGGCUCCUUCAACCGAGCCAACCUCAAGUACUCGGUGCAGCACGUGCGAGGCAAGCAGGUGAUCCCGGUUGUUGAGGACCUCGUACUGCACCGAUUCUCGCCGUCGUCGUGCGGCAUCGUGUACUGCCUGUCGCGCAAGGACUGCGAGGAGAUGGCGGCGGCACUCGUACGCAGGGGCAUUAAGGCCUCCUACUACCACUCCGAGGCGGCGUCGAAGAAUGAGCGGCAGGAGCGAUGGACGCGUGAUGAGCUACAAGUGAUUUGCGCUACCAUCGCGUUUGGAAUGGGCAUCAACAAGCCAGAUGUCCGCUACGUCGUGCACGCGGCUAUGCCCAAGUCCAUCGAGGGGUACUACCAGGAGAGCGGCCGCGCCGGCCGUGACGGUUUGCCGUCGGAGUGCGUGCUACUGAGCACCACCACAGAUCGACAGCGGCAGGAGCGGCUGAUCCACGGCUCGAAAGACUGGCGCGCCUCCCUCACCUCGCUGCACCGCAUGCUGGCUUACACCCUCAACAACGUCGACUGUCGCCGGCGCCAGCAGCUGCACCACUUUGGUGAGCAGGUGGACGUCCAUUUUUGCCUUACGCAGCGGGCUGCCGCUGGCGGUGGCGCGGGGCCGCCGCUGCCACCGACGCCGGCCGCAUCAGUGUCUGUCGUCACGCAGUUGUGUGAUAACUGUGCCAGCAAGCUGGCCGAGGGCUGGACGGUGAAGGAGGUGGACGUGGGCAACAUUCUGCUUGAUCUGUACGCUAUUAUCCUGCGUCUCGGCACCAUGACGUCGAAACAGCUGAUCGGCGUGUACCGCGGCUCUGUCUCGGAAAUGGGGCGCACCGUCGAGAUGCGCAUGCGCAUGAAGGGAACGCCGGCGGAGUACAAGAGUGGCGCCAAGCACUCGAAGGUACUUUUGGACCGCACGCUGCUCGAGGGGAUGCAGCUCGGGCUCUUCGAGGAGCGGCUGGACAGCAUCAAUGACUUCGCCGUGUGCGCCUUUGUAGAGCUUGGCGGCACCCCAGCAGCGCAGCAGCUCCACCGCGACAUCAAGGCUGGACACCGCGUCAUAACGCUGCGCCUGCGAAAUGUGAAGGCCCGCAGUAGUAAAGAGGAUGCGAGCUUCGGCGCUGUGGCCAGUGCUGUUUCGGGCGCCACCGCCAAGGACGACAUGCCGCUCGUCGAGCUGUUUGACUGUGCCAAACGACAGGCGGCCGUGGGCGACGGUCGCGGCACACGGGCUUCGGCGGCAGCACCAGAAGAGAAGAAGCGCAAGCCCGAGGCAAAGAAGGGGCGCCGCGGCAACAGGUACGUGCUGGACGAGGCAGACGGCAGCACUGAUGACGACGAAGGGGCGAUCUCAUCCAUCGAGGAAGACUCUGCAAUGUCGAACAGCAUGGCGUCCUUUAUCGACGAUGAGAGUAGCAGCAUGGCUACCCCAUCCUACAUCUCCAGCGUGACGACGCCGCAGCGCGAUGGGGCCGGGGCAUCGGAAGCAGCUGCUGGUCGCCGACAGCGCACUUCAUCGACGGCCGGGUCGCAGGACGGCGUCCUCUCGACGCUGUCGGAGGACACCCGAGGCCAGCCGCAAGUGCAUCAGCCGCCGCGGAAGCGCACUCGCGGUGAUGCGGCCGACCAGCGAGCGGCCGUGGCGCAGAGGGGCCUAGGCGGCACUGCUGCUGCACCUGCGGCUGCGGCGUCGACCGUCCCUGCAGCGCGACUGGAGCGCCUGAAAGCGCUUCUGCAGGAGGAGAUGGAUCGGCUCGUGCAGACCCUCGUGAGCCAGGCGGUGGGGUGCCGAAGUUACAACGUGAUGCCCAAGAGCACAAUUCUGCGGCUGACCGACACGCUCGCCAUCCCUGGCUGGGGCAGCGUCGGCGACCUCAUCGACCUGGAGGGGAUGGGCAAGAACAAGGUGAAGCGGUACGGCGCCGACAUCCUGCGGGUGUACCGGCAUUUCCGCUACAUCCACAUAGGCGACGUCGAGGAGCUGUCGGAGGCAGAGGCGGCGGAGGUGAAGGAUGUGAAGACGGCGGUGCGGCCGCGCAAUCGCCUCGGCCGCGCAAACGCCUCCGCUGGCGAGUUGAUCGUUGAGAAUGACGGGGAGGAGGAGCGCGGUGGUGAUGGUGACCGACUAGCGAGUGCGACCGCGUCUGGUUUUGUGGGCGGGAUCGGCAUCGAAGCGGGAGCGAUAAACGGCCGUGCAACGCAUCAGCAGGCACAGCGCCCGAUACUGCUGGACCCAGUCACGCCCGAGAAGGCGCGCGCAUCGGUGUCCUCGGCCGCAGGCACCCCAUCACGCGAUGGCGGCAGCGGCGUGGCACUGCCAGGCACCCUCGGCGACCAGCCGCGGCAGCGACGCACGAUGUUCACCUUUUCAUCCACCACAGCUGCCGCUCCAGCGGCGGUGCCCAUCGGCAUCGGCUCCAGAUCAUCCUCUCCGCGGCUGUCUCUUCAGGGCCACGAGGGGUGCGCAGCUGCACCACCGCUACCACCGCCAACAAAUCCAGCUGCCGCAGUGAACCGUGUCGCGGACAGCUACGACCAGCUCACGUGCGAUCCAUCGGUGGCCAAUGCACAUGGAAACACACGUAUGAUUGCUGCCCCCACAGCAGCAGCCGCUCUGCCGCCGCACGAGCCGCAUCCUCAUCAGCCUCCCAUGCCGCAGUUCUCUGUGCCUCUAUUUCCGGAGCCGCCUGCGUGGCAGACGCCUGCCACUGCCGCCGCUGCUUCUGGUGUGCCAUCAUCGAGCACGCCGGCGCCGCUGCUGCUGCCCCACAACAGCACCGCCGGCGGAAACGCCCAUCUGUUCUCUCCCAGCUCACCCUCCUUUACAUCCGCCUCGGCGCCUCUGGGCGGCACAGGACUUCCCAUGGCUCAGCGACUGUGUCCACAAGUGCACCACCAGCCGUCCACGAUGAUGACGCUGGCGGUGCCUUCUGAUGCCGUGAGGGGUGGUGACCCUAGCCUGUCAGACACACUCCGGGGAAGUGGUCAGACCGGCGCUGCCCACGCCGCCGAGAACAGCGAGCUACUGAUCGGGAGUAGCCCUAUUCCCACGCAGCAGCAGCAGCAGCAGCUACGCCACACAUACUUCUUCAACUGUCAGAGCGCUCCGCAAACGCUCAGUGGAAGCGGCGGAGAGACUGGCGAGGGGCAGCAGAGUAGUAGCGGCGUGGUGCUGCUCGGCGCCGACGGACCUACUCAAGGGCCCUGGACGCCGGCCACGUCUAUGGCGGGCUGCAGACACGACGUGCCGCCGCCACCACCGCUGCAUGCGGAAAAGGGCAUGCACAGCGUCGAGUACUUGAUGGGCCUCUGCAAUGACGCCCGGCUCCGCACGCCGCUGAGCGGGCGGCCGUCUGGCUCGGCGACUCGUGGCGGUGGGGGGCCCUCCCGAUCCACGAUGCCAGCGCCAGCACGCGCCGCGGCUUAUUCCACCGGCGCGGCCACGACGAACACCGACCAUGCUGUGAGCCAUUCACUUCCCUGCCCCACGACGGGCGGAAGGCCGCUCGGCAGUGGGUCGACGUUGUCCUCGUCCUGCGCCGAGGAGUCCAUCUCCUUCUCAGAGCGGCCACUAUUUCAGACCAGCACGCCAGAAUCCGCCCCACAGCUGCAGCUGCAGAAGCAAGAGAAUGGUGCGGCAGCAGGUGGCGAUAAUGGCGCUGGCCGCGACAGGCAAGAGGUCUUCACCGUCGACGAUGACUCAGAAUAAGCGUAGGAUGAGGAGAGUGGGGGGGGGGAGCAUUCGCUCGUUGCUGCUGCUGCUGUUUUGGAAGACACAGAGAGAAACGAUGCGAGUGGCGCGCGUUAGUUGUGGUGGUGGUACUGAACAGGUUUUAUGAGGUGUGUAAGUGCUCGCCUGUUUCUAUCUCUUCUCCUCCCCCCCUCUGCGCGUCUGUGCUCCAAGGCGUCACGGCACGCAGCGGCGCGUGGGCCUUUCUUGCCGCCGUCCGCUAUCGUACCUUCUGUUCCGUCCUCUGUUUUGCUGUUCGCAACGUCGGCACAUGCGUCUCUCGUUGGUGCGGUAAAGCGCAGCAAAACUAUCGUAUAAAAGUCGACGUGCGGAUGAGCGAGUCACUGAGCGCGCCAGUGGCGCAUGCAUGUGUGUGCGGGGGUGUACGCGCGCGACGUGGUGCGUCUUGCAGCAAGCACUCAGGCAUGGUUUCCCCACCCCUAUCGGCUGCGUAGCGUCAGCGCCGGACAACACUGUACCCCCCUCCUAACUUUCCCCUCGGAUGAGGGGAGGGCGCGGAAGGGCAGCCAUCGAGCCACGCCGCUCUUUCGGUCUGUUCUCUCUCAAUCACUUUCUCUCCGAUGGAUCUGCACCCCGCACUCUUUCGUUGGGUGGCGUUCCGCCGCCACCGCUCACCGCCCCCGGUCACGGGGGCCGCUGCGGCCGUGCGCGCUCCUGCGCGUCGGCCACCUGCGUUGUGGAAAG
This 7637-nucleotide unclassified non-coding RNA is filed under the name Leishmania donovani. RNAcentral's name for it is "gene:LdHU3.24.1940(CDS-product:ATP-dependent_DEAD /H_DNA_helicase_recQ_putative)". Lineage: Eukaryota; Euglenozoa; Kinetoplastea; Trypanosomatida; Trypanosomatidae. The record is from RNAcentral.